RNAcentral lists this ribosomal RNA (426 nucleotides) under uncultured bacterium. Its description in RNAcentral is "partial 16S ribosomal RNA". It matches the Rfam family "Bacterial small subunit ribosomal RNA", at positions 354 to 796 of the family's 1533-position model. The record is from RNAcentral.
GUGAGGAAUUUUCCGCAAUGGGCGAAAGCCUGACGGAGCAAUGUCGCGUGAAGGAUGAAGGCCUAUGGGUUGUAAACUUCUUUUCUCAGAAAAGAAUUAUGACGGUAUCUGAGGAAUAAGCAUCGGCUAACUCUGUGCCAGCAGCCGCGGUAAGACAGAGGAUGCAAGCGUUAUCCGGAAUGAUUGGGCGUAAAGCGUCUGUAGGUUGUUUAAAAAGUAUUCUGUCAAAGAUUAGGGCUUAACCCUAGAUAGGCAGAAUAAACUUUUAAGCUAGAGUUUGGUAGAGGCAGAGGGAAUUCCCGGUGGAGCGGUGAAAUGCGUAGAUAACGGGAGGAACACCAAAGGCGAAGGCACUCUGCUGGGCCAAUACUAACACUGAGAGACGAAAGCGAGGGGAGCAAAUGGGAUUAGAUACCCUGGUAGUCC